This 253-nucleotide ribosomal RNA is filed under the name uncultured bacterium. Its description in RNAcentral is "partial 16S ribosomal RNA". It matches the Rfam family "Bacterial small subunit ribosomal RNA", at positions 524 to 776 of the family's 1533-position model. The record is from RNAcentral.
UACGUAGGGUGCAAGCGUUGUCCGGAAUUAUUGGGCGUAAAGAGCGUGUAGGCGGCCAGGUAGGUCUGCUGUGAAAACUCGAGGCUUAACCUCGAGCUGUCGGCGGAAACCAUCUGGCUAGAGUCCGGAAGAGGAGAAUGGAAUUCCCGGUGUAGCAGUGAAAUGCGUAGAUAUGUGGAGGAAUACCGAUGGCGAAGGCAGCCUCCUGGGAUGACACUGACGCUCAUGCACGAAAGCGUGGGGAGCAAACAGG